RNAcentral lists this ribosomal RNA (431 nucleotides) under uncultured bacterium. Its description in RNAcentral is "partial 16S ribosomal RNA". It matches the Rfam family "Bacterial small subunit ribosomal RNA", at positions 29 to 507 of the family's 1533-position model. The record is from RNAcentral.
AACGAACGCUGGCGGCAGGCUUAACACAUGCAAGUCGAACGCCCCGCAAGGGGAGUGGCAGACGGGUGAGUAACGCGUGGGAACAUACCCUUUUCUACGGAAUAGCUCUGGGAAACUGGAAUUAAUACCGUAUACGCCCUACGGGGGAAAGAUUUAUCGGGGAAGGAUUGGCCCGCGUGGGAUUAGCUAGUUGGUGGGGUAAAGGCCUACCAAGGCGACGAUCCAUAGCUGGUCUGAGAGGAUGAUCAGCCACAUUGGGACUGAGACACGGCCCAAACUCCUACGGGAGGCAGCAGUGGGGAAUAGUAGACAAUGGGCGCAAGCCUGAUCCAGCCAUGCCGCGUGAGUGAUGAAGGCCUUAGAGUUGUAAAGCUCUUUCACCGAUGAAGAUAAUGACGGUAGUCGGAGAAGAAGCCCCGGCUAACUUCGUG